RNAcentral lists this transfer RNA (73 nucleotides) under Candidatus Woesearchaeota archaeon. Its description in RNAcentral is "tRNA-Gln". It matches the Rfam family "tRNA". From Rfam's summary of the family: Transfer RNA (tRNA) molecules are approximately 80 nucleotides in length. Lineage: Archaea; Nanobdellati; Candidatus Woesearchaeota. The record is from RNAcentral.
AGCCCUGUAGUCUAGCGGCCAAGGAUAUAGGCCUUUGGAGCCUGAGACCCAGGUUCGAAUCCUGGCAGGGCUA